Molecule: ribosomal RNA, 497 nt
Filed under: uncultured bacterium
Lineage: Bacteria
Description: partial 16S ribosomal RNA
Rfam family: Bacterial small subunit ribosomal RNA
Source: RNAcentral
GAUGAACGCUGGCGGCGUGCCUAAUACAUGCAAGUCGAGCGAACGGACGAGAAGCUUGCUUCUCUGAUGUUAGCGGCGGACGGGUGAGUAACACGUGUAUAACCUACCUAUAAGACUGGGAUAACUUCGGGAAACCGGAGCUAAUACCGGAUAAUAUUUUGAACCGCAUGGUUCAAAAGUGAAAGACGGUCUUGCUGUCACUUAUAGAUGGAUCCGCGCUGCAUUAGCUAGUUGGUAAGGUAACGGCUUACCAAGGCAACGAUGCAUAGCCGACCUGAGAGGGUGAUCGGCCACACUGGAACUGAGACACGGUCCAGACUCCUACGGGAGGCAGCAGUAGGGAAUCUUCCGCAAUGGGCGAAAGCCUGACGGAGCAACGCCGCGUGAGUGAUGAAGGUCUUCGGAUCGUAAAACUCUGUUAUUAGGGAAGAACAUAUGUGUAAGUAAAUGUGCACAUCUUGACGGUACCUAAUCAGAAAGCAACGGCUAACUACGUG